This 1130-nucleotide ribosomal RNA is filed under the name Psychrobacter sp. Its description in RNAcentral is "bacterial SSU rRNA". It matches the Rfam family "Bacterial small subunit ribosomal RNA", at positions 70 to 1194 of the family's 1533-position model. The record is from RNAcentral. Lineage: Bacteria; Pseudomonadati; Pseudomonadota; Gammaproteobacteria; Moraxellales; Moraxellaceae.
AACAGGAGAAGCUUGCUUCUCGCUGACGAGCGGCGGACGGGUGAGUAAUACUUAGGAAUCUACCUAGUAGUGGGGGAUAGCACGGGGAAACUCGUAUUAAUACCGCAUACGACCUACGGGAGAAAGGGGGCAGUUUACUGCUCUCGCUAUUAGAUGAGCCUAAGUCGGAUUAGCUAGAUGGUGGGGUAAAGGCCUACCAUGGCGACGAUCUGUAGCUGGUCUGAGAGGAUGAUCAGCCACACCGGGACUGAGACACGGCCCGGACUCCUACGGGAGGCAGCAGUGGGGAAUAUUGGACAAUGGGGGAAACCCUGAUCCAGCCAUGCCGCGUGUGUGAAGAAGGCCUUUUGGUUGUAAAGCACUUUAAGCAGUGAAGAAGACUCCAUGGUUAAUACCCAUGGACGAUGACAUUAGCUGCAGAAUAAGCACCGGCUAACUCUGUGCCAGCAGCCGCGGUAAUACAGAGGGUGCAAGCGUUAAUCGGAAUUACUGGGCGUAAAGGGAGCGUAGGUGGCUCUAUAAGUCAGAUGUGAAAUCCCCGGGCUUAACCUGGGAACUGCAUCUGAAACUGUAGAGCUAGAGUAUGUGAGAGGAAGGUAGAAUUCCAGGUGUAGCGGUGAAAUGCGUAGAGAUCUGGAGGAAUACCGAUGGCGAAGGCAGCCUUCUGGCAUAAUACUGACACUGAGGCUCGAAAGCGUGGGUAGCAAACAGGAUUAGAUACCCUGGUAGUCCACGCCGUAAACGAUGUCUACUAGUCGUUGGGUCCCUUGAGGACUUAGUGACGCAGCUAACGCAAUAAGUAGACCGCCUGGGGAGUACGGCCGCAAGGUUAAAACUCAAAUGAAUUGACGGGGGCCCGCACAAGCGGUGGAGCAUGUGGUUUAAUUCGAUGCAACGCGAAGAACCUUACCUGGUCUUGACAUAUCUAGAAUCCUGCAGAGAUGCGGGAGUGCCUUCGGGAAUUAGAAUACAGGUGCUGCAUGGCUGUCGUCAGCUCGUGUCGUGAGAUGUUGGGUUAAGUCCCGCAACGAGCGCAACCCUUGUCCUUAGUUACCAGCGGGUUAAGCCGGGAACUCUAAGGAUACUGCCAGUGACAAACUGGAGGAAGGCGGGGACRACGUCAAGUCAUC